RNAcentral lists this long non-coding RNA (5823 nucleotides) under Glycine max (soybean). Its description in RNAcentral is "long non-coding RNA (GMAX_LNC003366)". The record is from RNAcentral. Lineage: Eukaryota; Viridiplantae; Streptophyta; Magnoliopsida; Fabales; Fabaceae.
UUCUCUCAAAACCCUUUCUUUUUCCCGCAGCCAACCAAACCAGUCUCAGAAAAACGACGAUCUCGAACCCGUUCACCGUUGGAUCGUCGUGAAAUUUGAGUAUCAUGUUCGCAACACAAUUCCGAGCAUUCUCACCGUUGGGAAUUUCGAUAUCAUGUCUGAACUGAGAGAAAAACCCUUCGCAUUGUAGCCUUUUUCUUUCCCGCAGAAACCCAGAGCUGUCUUGGUAAAACUACGAUCCCGGUUUAGUUAACCGUUGGAUUAUUGUGAAAUUUGGAUAUGUUGUUCGAAAUUCAAUUCCGCACGCUUCCACCGUUGGGAUUUGCGAGAUAAUAUUCGUGGAGGGAGAAAAAGGAAUCGUAUGAAGACAGUACAAGUGGAGGUUUCAAUCUCUUCUCCGUCUCUCUGACGUUUGGGAAUUCUAUCGGAGCAGUCGGAUGAAUAAUUGAAAGAAUUUCCGGGAACCGCUAGAGAUGUUGCUAUCGCUGGCUGAAGACACGUGAACCCGCUUAGAGGUAAGGGAUGAGUUAUUCACAGUUGGGGAUUAGUGAGAACAUGUGUAGGGAUCCUUAGAGGAUUAAAUUGGGAUUUUAUUUUGGAAUGUUUGUUAAAUUGCAAUUUUUCCUUUAUGAUUAUAAAUAAAAUAUUGAUGUCCUGAUGAAAAUUGCUUGAUAAAUUGUGCUCUCGAUAUUUGUAUAUUUGGACCUAUGAUUUGGAUAUAAUUGUGUAAUAUUAUUUGAGGGGUUUUAGUCCUCAUGUUGUGAUAGUCUUUUAUAUAAAUUGUUAUAUUGAGGAUAUGAAAUGAUAAUUCAAAUUGUGAGCAUGUGAUGAAUUGUAGAAUAACAUGUUGCUUUGAGAUUAUAAUAUUGUUAUUGAAAUUGAGUAUAAGUGUAAAGUUGAACAUGUGUUAAUUUGUGAGAUACGUGUAAACAUGUGAUGGUGGAUUGUGACACUAUGAGAUGUGAAAUUGUGAAUGAGUUCUAGUUGUGGAUAAGUGUGUAGUUAACACUUGAUGUGAAAUUACUUGUGUUGUAAGCCAUGAAUUGUACAAUACCCGACCAGCGUUAUCUUGAGAAAAGCGUUGAUGCGCAGUGUUAAAGAGAAAAUGUAGGUUUCCUAUUUAGGAACCAGUGUUAAAUCGUAGCGCAAUUGUGUUGAACGUGUUUAAAACACGAGUGUAAGGUCGUGAGUAUUGUAUAAUUCAUGAGCAGUGUCUGCAUGUAAAAAAAAUUAUUUUAGGGGUUGGACCUGAAUCAGGAGGGAGAGGCCCUGACGGACUCUUCGGAGUGUAGGCCUUGGGGGUCACCGGGUUUGAGUGCUCCUUUAAGCCUAUGCUGAUCUCAUAUGGUUGGAGCAUUCUCGCAAAACAUCGUGACCCUGACUGGUCUCCCUAUGAUCUUACUUAGUGAGAGUGACCUGACAAACCCAUUGUGUGGUGUGUCUUGUUAUGUACUCCUAAGCGCCCCAGGGUGGUUUUUCACUGACAUGGUACCACAUUGCAUAUAGAAUUGAGUCUUAGCAUAACUAUUGCAUAUGCUUGCUAAUUGAUGUGUUAUUAUAUCUUGAUCGAAGUGUGGGAUUCUUGUGUAAUGUGAUUGAUAAUUGAAAAGUGAAUUUUGAAUGACGAAGUGGUGAAGUUACGUGAGCUAUGUUUAAGCAAGUGGUAUCUCAUUUAUAUAAUAUGUAUAUUUAAUUGUCUUGUUUCUCUAUUAGUUAGGAAUGUGAUAACUCACUCCCUGUGUGUUGUUGUGUUUGGAUCCUGUGAUGAUCUUGAACUUGUGUUCGGGGGAGCAGAUGAAUAGGUGGAUGACUAUGAAGAACCUAAUGCUAGAGGACACGGGAACACCACGCUCUGAUAGGAUGUGACAUUAGGAUAUAGGUUCUAUAUUAAUUGUAUGAGACUUAUAUGACUUUCUUUGAGUCGAGAUGACUUUAUUAUUUAUUUGGACAAGUUUGAAUAUGAUGUAGAAGAAAGUGAACGUGAGCCUUUUACCCAUUUGAAAAGCUUGUAUUUAAAAAUGUUUUAAAAAUACUUUUAAUUAAUAUUUGAAUUUUUAUUCCUUUAUUAAUAUAUAUGUGAGGGGUAGAGGGUGUCACAUUUAGUGGUAUCAGAGCAGGUCGAACCUUUCGGCCAGUGUGUUAUGUGCUUACCAUAUUCUGGUGUGCACUCUGUGUGGUUACUUAUGAGUACUUUUGUUGAGCAUGCUUGAAUUUUUAUUUGUAUUUUCUCCUACAUGAUUAAAUAAGACUUAAUAAUAAUGCUUGUAUGUGCCUUGCAUCCUUAAUGUUUGUUAUACCAUAAAUCCACUGUUGAGUCAUGAGUUAUGAGACUGGCCAUCUCUAUAAUUUGUGAAGUGCGGUUCGACAUUAUGGUAAGCCGUUAGGGGAUGCAAGAAGCCUUGAUACUGAUGGAUAAUGCUUUAAUGAGCCCUUAUCUUCUUGCUUGUAUGUUGUUAAUAAACUUAUUUCUAUCUUGAUGUGUGGAUUAGUGUUGUGAAAACCUUUUGAACCAUAUAUAUAUCUUGGAUGAGUAUGUCUUUCUUGAUGUGUAAACGCAUGACUACUUAACUCACUUUAUUUUGUGUGUAGUCAUGAAUGUAGUAGUUGAAGUUUGUGAUUCUUUAAUACAUCCUUAUUAACUAUUAAAUUCUUACUUCUUAUAUGUACGUUGUAUACUUAUUAUAAGAACCUUAUAAUUCUGGGUAUGUUAGUAGUAUGGUGUUUUGCCUUAAUUGCAUAGAUAGUAUGGUUGUUCGUGAUUUCUUGUUCUUAGCAAUGUUGAUACUCUAUAGUUCGAUGACUCGUAUCGAGAUAUAUUUUAUAUAGAAUACUCUUUUGACCAUACCUUUUUAUUCUAGUGUAAACUAUUCUUUGUGUUGCGUACUUAAGUCGAGUAAUUCGAUUUCACUUGCAAGCUUGAGUAUAAUUCAUUGUUUGUGUUAUGAGCCUACAUCAAAUAAUUGGAUUAUUGAUGUUUCUGUCACGAUCAAGUGAUAGUUGAUAUCUCCAUAUGUGCGUACACUGUGAUUAUGUUUUCGUUUCUAGAAUUCAUUUGGAGUAUCUACUGUUGAUUCUAGAUGAGUGAUCCUUCUUGAUUUAAAAUUAUAGUCUCCUAAUCAAUCGAGUGUUCAUCUUAUUAUUGGCUGCUCAUCUUCCAAUCAUGUCUAGUUAAACUGCUUGAUAAUCUUUCUUGUUGUUACUUCUAAUACGAAUAAAGAGAGACUUCGCCUUUGACAAUCAUGUUAAGAUGUUUUGAGAGGAAAUACUUGAGUAGACAUGAUCAUUGUUACCUAUAGACGAAAGUCAAACUUAGUAAGACGUGUACCUGUGUUCCUUGAGGAUAUGCUUAGUUACCACCUAAGUGCAAGAUUGAGAAUCUUAUAAGUGUAGUACCCAUAGAAACUUGUAACCGUAGUUCGUGGGAAAUAUCUAGUGUAGAGUUGUUGGAGAACAUAGUCUAGUUGGAAAAGUUAUGAAGUAUAGUUAAGAGGUUUAAUGUGGAACCUUAAGAAGAGAGUAAGGUAGUUAGUAAGACAUUAAUUGUUAAGCAUAGAAGGAUUCAAGAGUGAGUGUUCUUGCGUAAGGUAGGUGACCUAAAAGAUUAUUGAUGAUAGUUGUACGAUUAGCAAGAUAAAUAUUAGUUCUUUUUACCUUAAUAUGGAAAAAGUUUGUUGAUGCUUUAAGAAAUACCUUAGUACCUAUUGUGACCUCUAUGUGUACCUGGUCAUGUCAUAAUAUGAUUGAUGUCUAUGUGUGUUUGUGGAAUGCGUGAUAGGAUCUCUCACCCUGAGUUAGCUCUUGUUGUGGUUUUGAUGAUUAGUGUUUAGUAUGUUUCCAGUUAAGUUGAAUUAUGAUGUGCAUUAUAAGGUUGUUAUAGACCCUUGGACAUCAUGUUCCGAGCUAAGAGUUUUGUUAUGCAUUUUAGUUAGAUGAAGAUGACCCUUAAAGUAUGCUACGUCUAGGUGAAAGAUAACUACAAAUCCUUCUUGGGCAGAAGUUGUUUUGAGAUGAGAGGAAACCUAAGAUUAAGAUGAAAUGCUCUUAACUAGUAGUCGAACCAAAAGGUUAUUUUAGGACUCAUUGGAUUAACCUUAAUGCUUGCUGGAGAUGACUUAAGUAAGUUUAAGUUUUUGAGUGAGAUCCUUGUAAGGAGUAAGCCAUAAGUUCAUAGAGAAGUCGACCACUGUAAAUUAUUGAGUGCUAUCUUAGUCGCGUAGGUCCUUAUUGGAGUAGUAAAAUAUUUGAAAUAAUUUUUAAGUUUAGAGGAGUGCUUGUAGGAGGACAAAUAGUGAUCAAUGUUUCUUGACAACUUAAGACUUAUGAAAAGAUUUAUCCUAUAUGUGAGUUAGAAUAGGUAACCAUGGGGUUCACCAUAAUAUUUUGGGAGACAUUACCGUUAGUUUGAUACAUUGUGAGGAUCUUUGGAGCUGAAUCCGAGAUAAAAGAGAUGUGUAAAAUUCUCAAGAAUCUUGUUGUGAGUUUAGUUUUAAAUGUUAGAACUAGCUUAGUAGUUAGAGUUUGAAUAGGAAACCGAUGAUAUGACUAGUGUCCUAGUUAUAGAGUUAGAUAUCGUAAACAACAGUUGAAAUCUCAACUUCAAGUGCAAAGUUAUAGGGUGACAUGAUGAGCAUAAAUGUGUGAAGAUUACCUCAAGGUGAACAAACUUACAGAAGUAGGGAGUAAUCUGUAUUGCUUAUCUAAUUAGCACCCAGUUAGUAUCAAGUAAGCAACCUUAGAGUUGAAUCGUUACCAUUCUUGAACCUAAGUGAGAGUUAUGAGUCAAGUAUACGAAAGUGAGAAAGAUCAUGUUGAAGGAAGAGGCUUAGACUCAAGGGUAGGCAAAUCAUGUAUUCUCGAUAGUCAUCGUGAACUAGGAUUGGUAGAGUGUGAGAGUCUCGAAACUCAUUAUCUUUCUUGAACCGUCCGAUGUUCGAAAAAGAGUCGACCAUGUGAUCAGUCACGUCUCCUUGUGUUUGUUUGUUCUUUUCAAUUUGUCAUUAGUGUCUCCUAUGAUAUUAUUCUACUCCAAAUAGUAUGUCAUUCACAUUCUAUUAUAGUUGAGAUGUCACUCUCGUGAGAAGACUUACUUAUGUAAUACUAUCAUUGAGUAAAUGAGGAUCACCGGAUUUAAUAGUUAAGUGCAGAGGAGUCUUGUGAUCAGAGUAAUAGAAAAAAAGUUUCAACUAGACACACAUCUUGAUAUUGAGAAUCAUAUGCGUGAUAUCUUUUUCUCGAUCUUUCGGCAAGUUUCGGGGACGAAACUUCUUUUAAGAGGGGUGGAAUUGUAACAUCCCAAUUUUUCGUAAAUAAAUUUAAAAAGCUUUUUAGUAAUAAAUAAAUAAAUAUAGAGCAAAUAAUAGGCUGAGUACCCUAGGUAUAAAUAGUUAUGUUAAGUCAGCUGCCUCCUUUUGGCCUCAUUUUCGUUUUUCCCCUUCUCUCAAAACCCUUUCUUUUUCCCGCAGCCAACCAAACCAGUCUCAGAAAAACGACGAUCUCGAACCCGUUCACCGUUGGAUCGUCGUGAAAUUUGAGUAUCAUGUUCGCAACACAAUUCCGAGCAUUCUCACCGUUGGGAAUUUCGAUAUCAUGUCUGAACUGAGAGAAAAACCCUUCGCAUUGUAGCCUUUUUCUUUCCCGCAGAAACCCAGAGCUGUCUUGGUAAAACUACGAUCCCGGUUUAGUUAACCGUUGGAUUAUUGUGAAAUUUGGAUAUGUUGUUCGAAAUUCAAUUCCGCACGCUUCCACCGUUGGGAUUUGCGAGAUAAUAUUCGUGGAGGGAGAAAAAGGAAUCGUAUGAAGACAGUACAAGUGGAGGUUUCAAUC